Molecule: long non-coding RNA, 627 nt
Organism: Bos indicus x Bos taurus (hybrid cattle)
Lineage: Eukaryota; Metazoa; Chordata; Mammalia; Artiodactyla; Bovidae
Source: Ensembl
GGAGGAGGAGGGAGAGGAGAGCAGGGAGAAGACAGGAAUACUUACGUAUUAAUAAUUCUGUCACACAGAGAGUCAGAGAGAAUCAGAGCAGGUGCCAGAGGAGCUGACCUUGAAGGCCACGUCUCCUGAAGAGCCCAGGGCCAGCGGGCCAUUGUCAUCAGCGGCAUAUAUUUCUACUGCAAUUAUCUCGCGUCCUCUUACAACUCUCUCAGAAGUUCCUUCCGUGAUCAUUAAAACUGGCUCUGGGCUGUGGCUUUGAAAGCGGCUGGAACCGCCCAGGGCUGGAUCGUAUCCUCGUUAAGCAGGGACGGCCUUCCAGGGACUUCAACAGGAUUUCUCAGUGGUGACAAAUCGAGGGAGAUGCGACUGGGCCAUGCCAAUUACAGCUCAGCAUUGUGGAUUGUCCCAGCAGUUGGGAGAUUCAAGGAGUGGGGAGCUUCCACCUAAAACAGACAGGCACAAAAGCCCAGGGAUCCAGCAGAGCCUCAGAACCACAGAGAAGCCAGUAUGUAACCAGAUGCACGGCCAACAGAGCCCAAAGAGGAGCAUGUCAAAAGGACAGAAAGAAGAUGUCAAGGCCAAAGAAUAUAAUCAGGUUUGAGGGUUUUUGUUUUUAAUAUUUCCCCA